GACGAACGCUGGCGGCGUGCCUAAUACAUGCAAGUCGAACGCAGAGGCAGGAGCUUUCUUCUCUGGACGAGUUGCGAACGGGUGAGUAACGCGUAGGUAACCUGCCCGUUAGCGGGGGAUAACUCUUGGAAACGAUAGCUAAUACCGCAUAAUAGUUGAUGUUGCAUGACAUUCGCUUAAAAGGUGCGGUUGCAUCACUACUAGAUGGACCUGCGUUGUAUUAUCUAGUUGGUGGGGUAACGGCUCACCAAGGCGACGAUGCAUCGCCGGCCUGAGAGGGGGGUCGGCCGAACUGGGACUGAGACACGGCCCAGGCUCCCUAGGGAGGCAGCCAGAGGGGAACCUUGGGCAUGGGCGGAAGUCUGACCGGGCAAAGCCGGGGGGGGGGAGAAGGGUUUCGGGUCGUAAAGCUCUGUUUUUAGGGAAGAACGAGAUUUGGAAUGAAAAGUGCACACUGUGACGGUAUCUAAUCAGAAAGCCACGGCUAACUACGUG
This 495-nucleotide ribosomal RNA is filed under the name uncultured bacterium. RNAcentral's name for it is "partial 16S ribosomal RNA". It matches the Rfam family "Bacterial small subunit ribosomal RNA", at positions 28 to 507 of the family's 1533-position model. The record is from RNAcentral.